Molecule: ribosomal RNA, 253 nt
Filed under: uncultured bacterium
Lineage: Bacteria
Description: partial 16S ribosomal RNA
Rfam family: Bacterial small subunit ribosomal RNA
Source: RNAcentral
UACGUAGGGGGCAAGCGUUGUCCGGAUUUAUUGGGCGUAAAGAGCGUGUAGGCGGCCAUACAGGUCAGCUGUGAAAACUCGAGGCUCAACCUCGAGACGUCGGUUGAAACCGUAUGGCUAGAGUCCGGAAGAGGAGAGUGGAAUUCCCGGUGUAGCGGUGAAAUGCGCAGAUAUCGGGAAGAACACCCGUGGCGAAGGCGGCUCUCUGGGACGGUACUGACACUGAGAGACGAAAGCUAGGGGAGCGAAUGGG